Molecule: long non-coding RNA, 3210 nt
Filed under: Phaseolus vulgaris (common bean)
Lineage: Eukaryota; Viridiplantae; Streptophyta; Magnoliopsida; Fabales; Fabaceae
Description: long non-coding RNA (PVUL_LNC001555)
Source: RNAcentral
AAAUAUUAAGAAAAUUGAUUACACCCAUUUGGAAAUCAUUGAAUGGAAAUCGAAUGUGAAGAUCACUAAAAAAACAAGCAUAAAAAUAAAAAAAAAUUCACUUUUUUCAUUUUCACGACCAUGCCAAACGUUAUCAACAUUCUCGGCACGCUGAAAAGAAAUUAUAUCCUCAUUAAUAUUAGAAGAAUAGAUUUGGGUGUUAGAAAGAAAAUCACAAAGCUCAUUAGAGGAACGAUACAGAGAGAAAAAUUCUUGGACUUUAGAAUUAACCCAGUUGUAACCAGGACGAGGGGUUCUUUGUGGUGCAAUCCUUUCGACUUUGUGGGGUACGACAGCAGUAGCAGCUUCAUUCGAAUCUUUCAUACAUGAAAGAGUAACAAAUGAGGACUUGGAUUCCAGAUUUUGCUCAGUUCGUACCACUCGUUCAGUAGAUUCACAACUUCGAAAAACCGGUAAAUUCAUCAGAAACGAAAAAAGAGCUCAAAAUAGACAUUAUACCUUUGAAACAAUUUGCUAGAUCUCUCAGAAAAGAACAAGAUAAGAUAGUACCCAAAAUAGCAAAUGAAGCAAAGUAUUUAUAAUGGAAGUAAAACCCUAAAAUUUGAAACGUCAUAACAUCUCAAACCGUUCAAAUAUUUUUCAUCUAACGGUUGAGUGAAUCGUUCACAUCAAAUCAUUUGUUCUGAUCAAGAAAAAACACACAAAACGAGACAUUUAAUGCAAAAUCAAAAAUGAUUUCUAAAAAAAUUCUUGACACAUUUCAUAAUAUUAGGCAUAAAGAUUUUCUAAUGUAAAUAAAAAUCUUUAUGCUUGGGGGGCUAGUGUACUACCAGGACCGAGAGGGAUAACCGAGAGUAUAUACCGAGAAGUUAUACCGAGAACUAUAUAUAUAAAGGAUAAAACAAACAUAUAUACAUAAUCACUAUAGCAAGGCCCAAAUCAAUAAGAGUCCAAAUUAAUGGGUGUGUAUAAAAUAAUAAAGAGGUGCAGAAAGAAAGGCCCAAACAAGGUAUAAGCCCAAUAAGAAAACCCUAUAAAUAGAGGAUCAACCCAAGAGGUAAGGUAGAGUGAAUUUUAUCUGAUGAAUGUAAAACUAUUUCUGACUUUGACAUCGGAGCGCCUUGCAGGUACACACUCCCAUCUUUGAGAAGAGAAGCUGAAAGUCCAACCUGGAGAGAAGUCAAAAGUCCAACAUGGAGAGAAGCCAAAAGCCCAACCUGGAGAGAAGCUGGAAGCCCAAAUCCAAGAGACCGACUAGUGAAGUCUGUGUUGUCAGCUUGUUUGAGUGUUCUCAAUCCUUUUUGUGAGAACAGUCUCAAUAUAUCAAUGUAUAGUUAAUAAAUUUUAUGUGAAAUAAUCCAUUGAGUUGUUCUUUGUAAUUUUGAGAAUCAUUUAAGAACCACAUAAUCAAUUUAAAAAAGAUAUAAUUGAUUAUCUCGUAAUUUCAUAAUAAUUGAUAUGUGUAUUUAUUAAUUGUAUGAACUAAUAAUUUAUUAAGUUGUUUCAAUUGUAUUUUGAGAUAUAAUUUAUUAUCAUUAAAUUUAAUUGAUUAAGUUUUUUUAAGAUAGUUUCAUAUAAUGUUUUUUGUGCUCUUCUGGGUUUAACAAUUUACAAAUUAUAUUAUAUUUCUUACUUACUCAAGAAACAGUUUAAGAAACCGAGUAGCAUUAAUUUUAUAUAUUUUAGUAAAGUUUUCUUCCAUCAAGAAAUUUGGUGACUUAGACUCUUUUAUAUAUAAUAAUAAGAAUUUUAUAUCAGUAGAGAAUUAUUCAUAUAUUUUAUAUAUUUAUUUAUUAGUUUUUCACGAGUCAAUAUUCUAUAGAAAAUAUCCCAAAAUCUUCGUGAACAUUUCUUAUUAAAGAGGUUUUGUUUCUACUUGUACAACAAGUACAUAUUAAAAAAAAAAAAAAUACGAAAAAGAGUGAAAUCUUUGUAAGUCUUAAAUAUCAAUCUUAAUAAACUUAACACACAAUGCAGAAUGCGCGUCAAUGAUUUUACCUAUAUUCCAUACGACUUAAUCUCACUUUAUGACACAUGGAUUCACAUUCCACAUCUGAUGAUCCACUUUAAACAUCAAAAGUUACUUGGAAAGUGAUUAGGUAGUUGAGUAUUUUUCAUAAAAAACAUUGACACAAUCAUAAUUAAUUUUUUCGAUAAUUCUGGUCAUCUACCAAUAAAAGGGGAUGCUAACUACCUAACAUCGACGAUGCUGAACAAGUAUUGGACAGUCCCAAGUUUGACCAAUGAAUAUCUUAGUCCAGAGUGUUAUUCUGAACUAUCUAGAUAUUCACCUAUUUGGUAACUUUUUUAGACCACACCCGGUCUCUGCCUUUCAUUUCGCAAUGUACCAAAGUGUGACUUACUAAAUACAAAAACUCAUACAUUAACAUGGUCUUAACUCAAUGCAAUGAAUUUUAUGACUUUUUCUUCUCAACUGACAUAUUCUUUGGCACUUUCAAGAAUCACAUAACAUGGUGACUUUUAAGAUAUGUCACAUUUUUCUUACCAAUAAUUUAUACACAUCAUUCAAAAAGAUAAAAAAAAUAUAAAAAUAAAUAAAACAUGUAAGUAACUUUCUUUUAUCCAAACUUAUUAAAUAAAAAUAAUAAUUACUUUUAUUUUAUUUUAAUUAUUACUUUAUAUAUUUAUUUUGAGUUAAAAGAAUUAUAUUUCAAAUAAAAUAAAAUAAAAUAAAUAUUAAAGCAAGAACUUUAAAUAAUUAGAUAUGAAUUAAUAUAUUAUAGGAAAAUAGAAUAAUAAAAAUAUAAAUAAAUAAAUAGGACUAAUGUGCAGGUAAAAUAAAUAAAUAACUAAAUAUGAUCAAUGUGUAACUAGAGAAAAAAAAUAAAUAAAAAGAACCAGAUUGUGACUAAAAAUAAAAAUAAAUAAAUAGGACAAUUAGAGAUAAAAAUAAAUAAAUAAAUAGUACGAAUGUGUAAAUGAAAAAAAAAUAAAGAAAUAAAUAGGAAAAGUGUGUAACUAGAACUAAUAGUAAAUAAAUAAAAUUAAUGAGUGUAUAAGUUUAUUGAAAUUACUAUAAAAGAGUUUAAUCUUACUUCGUGUCUUACCUUUAAUUGGAGAGAUAUAUCACAAGUAAAGCUUCAAGUGUGAAGAUUGAAAACCUCCUUACUCCAAAUAUCCUUUUUUUUUUUCUCUUUUUUUCUCCCUUUCUCUCUUUUCUUACUCUACUAGCUUCCCCUUACCUUCUUC